Beta vulgaris subsp. vulgaris (sugar beet) is the source of this 1111-nucleotide RNA transcript. RefSeq lists it as uncharacterized. The transcript is spliced from 5 exons. Lineage: Eukaryota; Viridiplantae; Streptophyta; Magnoliopsida; Caryophyllales; Amaranthaceae. The record is from RefSeq and is a predicted model, not a curated record.
UCUUUGGCUCCAUUCUCGUGGAAGAGGCAAGUUUUAAAAUACUUUACCAUUGAGCACAUAAGUAAUAAGAGAACCCCUUAUUUACUCAUUCAAUAGCUCCCUCUAAUUGUAGGUUAGAAAUGCCUUCAGAAGACGCAAAACCAGUGAAGAAGGAAGAAAUUGAAGACGACGACGAUGAUGAGAAGCCAAUUUCUCAAGUACGCAACAACAUAAACAAGAAAAAACCCGAUUUCUCCUUCUUCUGCAACCCCAAAACAAAAAUCAAAAGUGAAGAAAGAAGAAUCAAGUGACGAUGAUUUUUCUUCAAAAAAACCCACCAAAUCCACUCCUAAACCAACUAAACCCAAAAAGGAGGACAACAAGCAAAAAAUUAAGAAGAUAAAAAAAGAGGAGAAGGUAAAGGUUGAAGCGAAGAAGAGAGAGAAAAAGAUGUACGAUUUUCCUGGCCAGAAACGCGACCCUCCUGAACAAAGAGAUCCUUUGAGAAUUUUCUAUGAAACAUUGUAUCAGCAAAAGCCCACCAGUGAAUUGGCUGCAGUUUGGUGAAGGUUAGGACAUAGUAUAUGGCACAUUGUGGUAUGCUUAUGCGUUUAACCUUUAAUGACCAUCCUUUCCUUUUUCUGAGGAUGCUGCUGCUGCUUGAGGUCAAAAAGCUUGAUAAUGAUUCCAUACCUACAAUGUUAAUAGAGGAUGAUGGAAUCUGGUUUGCUUCCAUUAAAAGAGGCGAAGCAGGUCUAUGAGAACAAAAUGAAGAAGAAGAACCAGAAAAUUACUUCCCCGGUAAAACAUGUUAAGACAGUAAAGGAGACUAAAUCCGUGACUGUUAAGAAAAAAGUAGUUGCUUCCACCCCAAAAUCAUCGAGUACUAAGAAAACAGAAACCUCCACUGUGAAAAAACAAUCGAGGAAACGUAAAGCUGAAAGUUCUGAAGAAAAUUCAAGCUCAGAGGAAGACUCUGAAGAAGAUUAUGCAUUAUCAAAUAGGAAGGUUGCUAAGAAAGCCAGAGUCAAUUAACUCAUUAAAUUAGUUUUAUGAGGUUAAGAGAUGAAACAUUUGAUACUUACCCUGAUUUGUACUGAUUUGUUUAUGAGAAAUGUUGCUUGACAAUGCA